AGAAUCAACGCUGGCGGCGUGCCUAACACAUGCAAGUCGAACGAGAAAGUGGAGCAAUCCAUGAGUAAAGUGGCGCACGGGUGAGUAACACGUGACUAACCUACCCUUGAGUGGGGAAUAACCUCGGGAAACCGGGGCUAAUACCGCAUAACACCUACGGGUCAAAGGAGCAAUUCGCUUAAGGAGGGGGUCGCGGCAGAUUAGUUAGUUGGCGGGGUAAUGGCCCACCAAGACGGUGAUCUGUAUCCGGCCUGAGAGGGCGCACGGACACACUGGAACUGAAACACGGUCCAGACUCCUACGGGAGGCAGCAGUGGGGAAUUUGCGCAAUGGGGGAAACCCUGACGCAGCAACGCCGCGUGGAGGAUGAAGUCCCUUGGGACGUAAACUCCUUUCGAUCGGGACGAUUAUGGCGGUACCGGAAGAAGAGCCCGGCUAACUUCGCGCCAGCAGCCGC
Molecule: ribosomal RNA, 457 nt
Filed under: uncultured bacterium
Lineage: Bacteria
Description: SSU rRNA
Rfam family: Bacterial small subunit ribosomal RNA
Source: RNAcentral